RNAcentral lists this unclassified non-coding RNA (177 nucleotides) under uncultured Ascomycota. Its description in RNAcentral is "sequence contains ITS1". Lineage: Eukaryota; Fungi; Ascomycota. The record is from RNAcentral.
AACGAAAGCUGAGUAGUUCGCUACUCAACCUUCCACCCUUUGAAAACCAAAAUUGUUGUUGCUUUGGCGGGGCGUGACCCCCGGGCCCCGUUGGCUUCGGCUGACGAGCCCCCGCCGGAGGACCCCAAAACUCUAUUUAAACUAUAAAGUCUGAAUUAAAAAAAUUUAAUAGCGAUA